This 484-nucleotide ribosomal RNA is filed under the name uncultured bacterium. RNAcentral describes it as "partial 16S ribosomal RNA". It matches the Rfam family "Bacterial small subunit ribosomal RNA", at positions 30 to 507 of the family's 1533-position model. The record is from RNAcentral.
AUUGAACGCUGGCGGCAGGCCUAACACAUGCAAGUCGAGCGGAUGAAGGGAGCUUGCUCCUGGAUUCAGCGGCGGACGGGUGAGUAAUGCCUAGGAAUCUGCCUGGUAGUGGGGGAUAACGUCCGGAAACGGGCGCUAAUACCGCAUACGUCCUGAGGUAGGAAGUGGGGGAUCUUCGGACCUCACGCUAUCAGAUGAGCCUAGGUCGGAUUAGCUAGUUGGUGGGGUAAAGGCCUACCAAGGCGACGAUCCGUAACUGGUCUGAGAGGAUGAUCAGUCACACUGGAACUGAGACACGGUCCAGACUCCUACGGGAGGCAGCAGUGGGGAAUAUUGGACAAAGGGCGAAAGCCUGAUCCAGCCAUGCCGCGUGUGUGAAGAAGGUCUUCGGAUUGUAAAGCACUUUAAGUUGGGAGGAAGGGCAGUAAGUUAAUACCUUGCUGUUUUGACGUUACCAACAGAAUAAGCACCGGCUAACUUCGUG